CUGAAAGCAUGAAGAAUAAAGAUAUACAGGCGUUUGAAACAUUACAAGGAGAAGUCUCCUUUGUCCCACGUUUGGUAUGCUCUCUUCCCCAUGGAAACUACACAAAACAUAUCAAACCCCAAGUCAAUUUUGAAAUGCAACUACAGAAAGGGUAACCCGGUACACAAGGCAUCCCACGUUCACGUAGGAUCCGGGGAAGGCCACGCCAAUGGGCAUUGAUGUAGCCAGCCUAACUUAAUGCAAGCAUUAGUGGUUGCUACCAGGUUCGAACCCAUGACCUAUAGGUCACAUAGAUACUUUAUCGUUGCUCUAAGGCUACCCUUAAAAAAUGCAACUACAGAAACACUCUAAAAACAAACAAAGGAAAAAGAAAUUACUAACCCCAUAAGCAAAUUGAGGAAGACUGUGCUGAAGAUGAUAUAUUCUUGAAAUCCAACACUAUGUUGAACAUAAAACACCAAAUUGAGUUAAACUAAGAUCAUUUCACUAAUUUGGAAUACAAAAUUGAAAUUAGCAGAGCUUUUAGUACCUGAAACUUGGAUUGUUCCUGGCAUUGGGGAGAAUAUUUGAUACUCAAACUAUGUUCCACAAAAAAAUAGUAUAUCCCCUCAGCCUCAACCUCAAGGGUACUACAUAAUUAAGUGACAUAAAAAG
RNAcentral lists this long non-coding RNA (654 nucleotides) under Nicotiana tabacum (common tobacco). RNAcentral's name for it is "long non-coding RNA (NTAB_LNC005256)". Lineage: Eukaryota; Viridiplantae; Streptophyta; Magnoliopsida; Solanales; Solanaceae. The record is from RNAcentral.